CCAUUUAACAUCAGAUAUUAAAAUUCAUUUAUUAAAUUUUUUUGGGAAAACUUCAAAAACCCCCCAUGUGGUUUCGUGCAUUCUCACUUUGCUACCCUGUGGUUUAAAACGUAUCAAUUUGCCCCCCUGUGGUUUCGUUUUUAUCUUUUUGUUAUCAAUUUUAUUAUUAUUUUUUUUUUAAAUCAGUGACAAAGUUAAAAUUAAAGGAUACUAAAGUGACUAUUUGAUAAAUAUAGAUGGUUAUCUGAAGUUUUUUGUAUAUAAUUUAACGAAAUAUUAACGAAAAAGCUUCCGAAAAGAUAAAAAUGAAAUCACAGGGGGGUAAAUUGAUACGUUUUAAACCACAGGGUAGCAAAGUGAGAAUGCACGAAACCACAGGGGGGGUUUUUGAAGUUUUCC
This 399-nucleotide long non-coding RNA is filed under the name Ananas comosus (pineapple). RNAcentral's name for it is "long non-coding RNA (ACOM_LNC010957)". Lineage: Eukaryota; Viridiplantae; Streptophyta; Magnoliopsida; Poales; Bromeliaceae. The record is from RNAcentral.